CCUACGGGAGGCAGCAGUGGGGAAUAUUGCACAAUGGGCGAAACCCUGAUGCAGCGAUGCCGCGUGAGUGAAGAAGUAAUUCGUUACGUAAAGCUCUAUCAGCACGGAGGAAAAUGACGAUACCUGUAUCUGUAUCCCCGGCUAACUACGUGCCAGCAGCCGCAGUAAUACGGAGGGGGCCAGCGUUAUCCGGAUUUUCUGGGUGUAAAGGGCACUUAGACGGUGCGCCAAGUCAGUAGUGAAAUGCCGAAGCUUAACUGCGGAACUGCUUUGGAUACUGGCGAACUAGAGUGCGGGAGGGGGAAGCGGAAUGCAUAGUGUAGCGGUGAAAUGCGUAGAGAUUAGGAGGAACACCGGUGGCGAAGGCGGCUGACUGGA
Molecule: ribosomal RNA, 378 nt
Filed under: uncultured bacterium
Lineage: Bacteria
Description: partial 16S ribosomal RNA
Rfam family: Bacterial small subunit ribosomal RNA
Source: RNAcentral